CGCAGGCAGGGCAAUCGGUAAGCCGCGUGGCUCAUAACCACGAAGAACCGGGUUCGAUUCCCGGGCCUGCAACCA
RNAcentral lists this transfer RNA (75 nucleotides) under Ensifer sp. 1H6. RNAcentral's name for it is "tRNA-Met". It matches the Rfam family "tRNA". From Rfam's summary of the family: Transfer RNA (tRNA) molecules are approximately 80 nucleotides in length. Their secondary structure includes four short double-helical elements and three loops (D, anti-codon, and T loops). The record is from RNAcentral. Lineage: Bacteria; Pseudomonadati; Pseudomonadota; Alphaproteobacteria; Hyphomicrobiales; Rhizobiaceae.